RNAcentral lists this ribosomal RNA (1266 nucleotides) under Mucor sp. TUFC 20014. Its description in RNAcentral is "eukaryotic LSU rRNA". The stretch from base 556 to 1266 matches the Rfam family "Eukaryotic large subunit ribosomal RNA", at positions 1 to 619 of the family's 3401-position model. Lineage: Eukaryota; Fungi; Mucoromycota; Mucoromycetes; Mucorales; Mucoraceae. The record is from RNAcentral.
UAGGUGACCUGCGGAGGAUCAUUAAAUAAUUUGAUAAUUACACAAUUAUCUAAUUUACUGUGAACUGUUUUAAUUAUGACGCAUAAGGGGAUGACUAUAUACCAUAGGGUAGGUAUAUAGAAUGUUAACCUAGUCAUAGUCAAGCUUGAUGCUUGGUACCCAUUAUUAUUUACCAAAAGAAUUCAGAUUAAAUAAUGUAACAUAGAUCUAAACAAUCUAUAAAACAACUUUUAACAACGGAUCUCUUGGUUCUCGCAUCGAUGAAGAACGUAGCAAAGUGCGAUAACUAGUGUGAAUUGCAUAUUCAGUGAAUCAUCGAGUCUUUGAACGCAACUUGCACUCAUUGGUAUUCCAAUGAGUACGCCUGUUUCAGUAUCAAAAACAACCCUUAUUCAAACAUUUUGUUGGAAUAGACUUGAGCGUAGUAAGUUUAACUUGAGACGCUUUAAAUUCAGUAAGGCCUGAUAUUGUUUCACUGCCUAUAUUUUUUUUAAUUUAAGAAAGAUAGAAGCGAUUGAAGCUGUGGUUAAGGCCUCCCAAAUAAUUUUUUAAAUUUGAUCUGAAAUCAGGCGGGAUUACCCGCUGAACUUAAGCAUAUCAAUAAGCGGAGGAAAAGAAAAUAACAAUGAUUUCCCUAGUAACGGCGAGUGAAGAGGAAAGAGCUCAAAGUUGGAACCUGUUUGGCUUAGCUAAACCGGAUUGUAAACUGUAGAGACGUUUUCCUGACACGCCAGACAAAUAAGUCCUUUGGAACAGGGCAUCAUAGAGGGUGAGAAUCCCGUCUUUGGUCUGAGCUGUUGUCUUUUGUGAUACGUUUUCAAAGAGUCAGGUUGUUUGGGAAUGCAGCCUAAAUUGGGUGGUAAAUCUCACCUAAAGCUAAAUAUUUGCGAGAGACCGAUAGCGAACAAGUACCGUGAGGGAAAGAUGAAAAGAACUUUGAAAAGAGAGUUAAACAGUAUGUGAAAUUGUUAAAAGGGAACCGUUUGGAGCCAGACUGGCUUGAUCGUAAUCAAUCUAGGUUUCGACCUGGAUGCACUUGCGGUCUAUGCCUGCCAACGACAGUUCUUUCUGAAGGAUAAAACUAAGAGGAAUGUGGCCCCUCGGGGUGUUAUAGCCUUUUAGAUAAUACUUUGGAUGGGACUGAGGAACGCAGUGAAUGCUUAUGGCGAGAUUGCUAGGCGCUUUUGUUGAUAUAUGUCAGAAUUUCUGCUUCGGGUGGUGCUGAUGUCUAAAGAUGAAACCCGUUUGGUUAAUUUUCUAUCACUA